Molecule: ribosomal RNA, 508 nt
Filed under: uncultured bacterium
Lineage: Bacteria
Description: bacterial SSU rRNA
Rfam family: Bacterial small subunit ribosomal RNA
Source: RNAcentral
AUAUCCGGCGAACGGUAGUUUUGAAUCCGUGCUCAGGAUGACGCUGGCGGCGUGCCUAAUACAUGCAAGUCGAACGAAGUACUUCGGUACUUAGUGGCGAACGGGUGAGUAACACGUAGGUAACCUGCCCAUAUGACUGGGAUAACUAUUGGAAACGAUAGCUAAUACCGGAUAGGAUAAAGAAAGGCAUCUUUCUUUAUUUAAAGUUGAGAUACACAUAUGGAUGGACCUGCGGAGCAUUAGGUAGUUGGUGAGGUAACGGCUCACCAAGCCGAUGAUGCAUAGCCGACCUGAGAGGGUAAACGGCCACACUGGGACUGAGACACGGCCCAGACUCCUACGGGAGGCAGCAGUAGGGAAUUUUCGGCAAUGGGGGAAACCCUGACCGAGCAACGCCGCGUGAGUGAAGACGGCCUUCGGGUUGUAAAGCUCUGUUGUAAGGGAAGAAUGUGCUGGAUAGUAUCUAGUAAUGACGGUACCUUACCAGAAAGUCACGGCUAACUACGUG